GACGAACGCUGGCGGCGUGCCUAAUACAUGCAAGUCGAACGAAGCUGUUUUAACUGGUGCUUGCACCGACUUAAACAACUGAGUGGCGAACGGGUGAGUAACACGUGGGUAACCUGCCCCAAAGCGGGGGAUAACAUUUGGAAACAGAUGCUAAUAGCGCAUAAUCACAGAAACCACAUGGUCUCUGUGUCAAAGAUGGCUUCGGCUAUCACUUUGGGAUGGACCCGCGGCGUAUUGGCUAGUUGGUAAGGUAAUGGCUUACCAAGGCAAUGAUACGGAGCCGAACUGAGAGGUUGAUCGGCCACAUUGGGACUGAGACACGGCCAAACUCCUACGGGAGGCAGCAGUAGGGAAUCUUCCACAAUGGACGAAAGUCUGAUGGAGCAACGCCGCGUGAGUGAAGAAGGUUUUCGGAUCGUAAAACUCUGUUGUCAGAGAAGAACGUGUGCGAGAGUAACUGUUCGUGCAGUGACGGUAUCUGGCCAGAAAGCCACGGCUAACUACGUGCCAGCCGCCGCGGUAA
Molecule: ribosomal RNA, 523 nt
Filed under: uncultured bacterium
Lineage: Bacteria
Description: partial 16S ribosomal RNA
Rfam family: Bacterial small subunit ribosomal RNA
Source: RNAcentral